AGGCGACGACGGGUAGCCKGCCUGAGAGGGUGACCGGCCACACUGGGACUGAGACACGGCCCAGACUCCUACGGGAGGCAGCAGUGGGGAAUAUUGCACAAUGGGCGCAAGCCKGAUGCAGCGACGCCGCGUGAGGGAUGACGGCCUUCGGGUUGUAAACCUCUUUCAGCAGGGAAGAAGCCACWAGUGACGGUACCUGCAGAAGAAGCGCCGGCUAACUACGUGCCAGCAGCCGCGGUAAUACGUAGGGCGCAAGCGUUGUCCGGAAUUAUUGGGCGUAAAGAGCUCGUAGGCGGUUUGUCGCGUCUGCUGUGAAAGCCCGGGGCUCAACCCCGGGUCUGCAGUGGGUACGGGCAGACUAGAGUGCAGUAGGGGAGACUGGAAUUCCUGGUGUAGCGGUGAAAUGCGCAGAUAUCAGGAGGAACACCGAUGGCGAAGGCAGGUCUCUGGGCUGUUACUGACGCUGAGGAGCGAAAGCAUGGGGAGCGAACAGGAUUAGAUACCCUGGUAGUCCAUGCCGUAAACGUUGGGCACUAGGUGUGGGGGACAUUCCACGUUCUCCGCGCCGUAGCUAACGCAUUAAGUGCCCCGCCUGGGGAGUACGGA
Molecule: ribosomal RNA, 606 nt
Filed under: Kocuria sp. CMT60
Lineage: Bacteria; Bacillati; Actinomycetota; Actinomycetes; Micrococcales; Micrococcaceae
Description: bacterial SSU rRNA
Rfam family: Bacterial small subunit ribosomal RNA
Source: RNAcentral